GGUUACCGACCGCGACACCCAUGCAAAGGACUUUCUUCAGUUGAAACUUGACUGUAGCCUUCGUCUCAUUCACCUUGGAUUCCAGGGAUUCCUGGUGAGUGACCAGAGUGGGGAACUUGCCUGCAGGAGUGAUAUCAACAUGAUUCAAUCAGCUGGGCAGGCAAAGCAGACCACAUAUAGCAAAAGCUCUCAAGAUGAACAGCUCCAAGAGUAUGUCAUCAAGCAACUAAUAAAACAGUUCAAUACAAACACAAUGACAGGACAUUGCCUUGCAACAAGUACCAAAUUAGUCAUUAUCAUGCAAAACUACAUACAGAAAUAUGAGACAACACUACAUUGCAUGCUACAGCUUGGCACGCAAAGUAACAGUCAUGUCAGAAACGGACUACUUGCCUGCCUUGUUGAGACCAG
Molecule: unclassified non-coding RNA, 411 nt
Filed under: Zea mays
Lineage: Eukaryota; Viridiplantae; Streptophyta; Magnoliopsida; Poales; Poaceae
Description: misc RNA Zm00001eb358620
Source: RNAcentral